UGGACAAAGGAAGGCCGGAGUUGUUAGGAGGAGGAGGGAGAAGAACUGGAGCCCUGCAAGGCCGACUGCCCUUUACCUGCCUCUCUGGACCGGUUUGCCCCUCCGGGCUCAGGCUAGCUGCCGAGGAAGUUGCGCUGGGCCUGGAGUCAACAAGGCUCCACGUGCUCCCUUUCUCAUGGGAAGUGCAUUAAUGAGGAAACUGGUGUUCAGACUGGAAGCCACUCCUCCAGCACUGCCGGGUGCUCAAGGACCAGAGCUUGAAUCGGAGUCCCAGCUUCGGGCCUCCCAGCCCUGGACCGAGGCAGGUGUCUGAACAGAAAGGACCUGAAAGACAUCCACUUAAUAGUACCUGUUACUUGACUGAGUGAUUGGAAAAGAGCAAGAACAAAGAGAAGUAAGAGGACUAUAAACUACCUCCUGAGAAAUGAUUCCAAAAGGAGACACAACACCAAAACCAGGCUGUGCUGGAGGUCUACUGAUGUGGAUGGGAAGACAGCAGAUGCUGUGACCAUCCAUCCCUGAAAACGGGUGGUCCCCUGAGGGUCUUGCUUCCCCACCUGUAAUCCCCACAGGGCCUACAGCUGGGAGGACUUUCCCGGGAAGCAGAGUUGGGGGCAGUAUUUGGAGAGGGCACAGCCUGCAUCGAGGCCAGCUGAAGCAUGGAGACCCCAUCACGAGGCUUCCCUGAGGACCCCUCUUUGCACUCAGGCUUGGUGAGGGCUCCAGGUGUUGGAGGAGGAGAUGGAAUGAGAGUCUCACUCGGGCUUCUGGCUUGUUGACUGUGACUCCUGGUCUCUUGCUUGGACAGAGCCAGGAGGGUAAGAAAAACAGAAAAAAAGAAACAAAAAUAGCUGGAGAAUGAAAGAUGCCCAUCUGCUGUGUGGGCGAGGGAGGGCUGAGGAAGGAGGCUGGUUGGCCUGUCAGUUAAGAGGCUGAAUUGGGAAUUCCUGGCUUCACCAAACCAUGAGGAGGUCAGAGAAAAGACUAGAAACCAGACACACUGGAGGACCAGUUGAAUUUGGGCUGUAGUCCUGCUUGGCUUGGGCCACACUACCUAACCUCUGUGAGCCUGGUUUCUUACUCUAUAGUGUGGAAUGGGAACAACAUCAACUUUAAGAAGUUACUGUGUGGAUUAAACCAAUAAAUGUAGAAGAAU
Molecule: long non-coding RNA, 1156 nt
Organism: Phyllostomus hastatus (greater spear-nosed bat)
Lineage: Eukaryota; Metazoa; Chordata; Mammalia; Chiroptera; Phyllostomidae
Exons: 4
Source: RefSeq, a predicted model, not a curated record